This 653-nucleotide long non-coding RNA is filed under the name Homo sapiens (human). Its description in RNAcentral is "HSALNT0385179". Lineage: Eukaryota; Metazoa; Chordata; Mammalia; Primates; Hominidae. The record is from RNAcentral.
GGGAGGCUGAGGCAGGAGAAUCACUUAAACCCAGGAAGCGGAGGUUGCAGUGAGCUGAGAUCACUCCAUUGCACACCAAUGGUGGCCAGUUUUUGAAAUCUAGGAUGAUGGGGAGCCAGAUCGGGAUCCUGUGCCAUGCAUUUGAAGCCUCCCCAUAGAGACCGUCGAAAAUUGCCAAUGCUGAUUAUAUUUCAAGUCAUCAUGGAGUCAUUGGCUAUGAUACUGCCACUGCACAAAGCUGGCCCCAUCUCAAAAACAAGUUAUAUGUGGAUUUGUGGCUGCAUGGAGGAGGGCUGACACCCCUAACCCCUGCAUUGUUCAAGGGUCAACUAUAAUAUAAACAUAACUUCACUGAGAAAUCAAAAAAUUUGUGACCUGCUUUAUUGUGGUAGUCUGGAAGCAAACCUACAGCAUCUGAGGUAUGCCUGUCCAGUCCCUGUUCCCACAGAAUGUGAAUGGAUGCUAGACAUUCACUUAGUAUUCCGAGGAAACAAGAUGGGUUUGGCACCUGAGCUGAAGCCAUGCUGGCUCCAGAGCGAUAGAACAUUCUUUCCCACUAUCUCCCAGGAGGCUGAAUAACGGCAUCCUACUGUGUCUAGGCAAUCACUAAGCUCACUGGACUUGAUUUAUCCGUUAAAACUGCUCUGGGAUCU